UUUAAAUGGCCGCAGUAUAUUAACUGUGCAAAGGUAGCAUAAUCAUUAGUCUUUUAAUUGAAGGCUGGUAUGAAUGGUUGGACGAGAUAUUAACUGUUUCAUAAAAAUUUAUAGUAGAAUUUUAUUUUUUAGUCAAAAAGCUAAAAUUUAUUUAAAAGACGAGAAGACCCUAUAAAUCUUUAUAUUUAAUUUAUUAUAAUUUUAUAGAUUAUUUUUAUUAUAAUAAAUGAUAAUAUUUUAUUGGGGUGAUAUUAAAAUUUAAUUAACUUUUAAUUAUUAUAAUCAUUAAUUAAUGAAUAAUUGAUCCGUUAAUAACGAUUAAAAAUUUAAGUUACUUUAGGGAUAACAGCGUAAUUUUUUUGGAGAGUUCAUAUCGAUAAAAAAGAUUGCGACCUCGAUGUUGGAUUAAGAAAU
RNAcentral lists this ribosomal RNA (414 nucleotides) under Morellia aenescens. RNAcentral's name for it is "partial 16S ribosomal RNA". It matches the Rfam family "Bacterial large subunit ribosomal RNA", at positions 1922 to 2545 of the family's 2925-position model. Lineage: Eukaryota; Metazoa; Arthropoda; Insecta; Diptera; Muscidae. The record is from RNAcentral. RNAcentral also lists the same sequence under 1 other name.